Cygnus olor (mute swan) is the source of this 5363-nucleotide long non-coding RNA. RefSeq lists it as uncharacterized. The record is from RefSeq and is a predicted model, not a curated record. The transcript has 9 exons. Lineage: Eukaryota; Metazoa; Chordata; Aves; Anseriformes; Anatidae.
ACACUCCCUGGAAGUGGGAGAAAAAGAAGGGUGAGGGGUGGGGUACUGGCUAUGUGGCCAUAAAGCCAUGAAAGUGUUGCCCCUAGGAUGGAAGGGAGCUUGCACCCUGGGGACAAUAAUUCCAAACUUAACUAUUAUUGAAGACCCGCAAAGCCAAAGCCCCCUUGAGAACCCAUGCAGAAUUAAGAGGUCCCCUGAUAGUCCUCUAGUAAAAAGAAACAGGGCAUUUCACAGCUUUGCAAGGUGGUUUUCACCUUGGUUAGGGGUGAGUGAAUUAGAAAAAGCUAUUGUAACUAUCUCAGCUAUAAUUGAAGAACUAGAAGAGAACACUCUGGAUGCAGUCCAGGCACUACAAGAGCAGGUAACAAGUUUGUCACAAAAUUGUACUCCAGAUUCAAAUGAUAGUAGAUUUAUUACUAACCUCACCAGGAGGAGCGUGCACUCUGAUUAAUGCUAGUUGCUGUAUGUAUGUAGAUCAAAUGGGAUGAAUUUGACUGAUCUCAAAAAUAUUGGGGAAAAAACUUCUUAGGCCUUCAUAGAAUGGCCUAAGAUGACACUUCCUAAUUGUCUGGCCUAAAAAGCCAAUAAAUGAAACUUCAGUAUUUUGGCCAGAACACAGGCCUGAUGAAAAUUCAGGCUUUAAAUUUAUCUGUAAACAAUAAGACUCCUUUUUGGAGAGGAAUCAAGUUACGCUCCCUCUAAUCCUAAUCUUGCACCGGAGGCAGCAGCAGAUGCUCAAGGAAGGGAGACAGGGACUGCAAUUGACACUGACCAUGCAGAAGGAGCUCACUCUAGGCUCUGGAAGAAUUAGAACAAUGUUGAAGAGAUACUGAGAAUUUUGCCUUCCCUGAUACUAACAAUACUAACACCAAAUGUGUAUCCUAUUCGGGAGAUUUGAAUGGGACAAGGACAAACUGGUUAUGUGAACUACUUCUUUGGUUGCUUUCUUCACAGCGACUUGAGGAGUGCUUCUGCAUCCAGCUUUUUGUGUUCCCUUCAGUGCCUUUCCUCUGAGGACAUUUUCAUCGUACAGCUUUUGUGGUUCUCCACACCACGUUUCUGCUGAGGAUUGCUUCAUCAUUCAGCUUUUCAAGUUAUCUUCAGUGUGGCUCUUGAAGAGUGAUGCUCAGUGGAGCUUUUUGUGUCUUCUUCACCUUGUGGCCCCUGAAGAUUGCUUCAGCGUGCAGCUUUUGGUGUUUUCUUCACUGUGACCUAUGAGGAGUUGUGCAUCGUGCAGCUCUUGGGGUUCUCCUCACCAUGUUUUCCUUGAGAGAGCUUCAUUGUGCAUUUCUUGGUAUUGUUUUCACCUUGUUGCCCCUGAGAAGUGCUUCAUCCUCCAACAUGUGGUGUGUUUUUUUUCUUGGUUCAGGCCCCUGAGUAUUGCGUCAUUGUGCAGCUUUAGGUGUUUUCUUCACUGCGGCCCUGAAGAUUGCUUCAUCAUGCAGCUUUUGGGUUUCUCUUCAUUACGGCCUUGUGGAGAUCUUCAUUGGCCAGCUUUUGGUGAUUUGUUCUCUGUGGCCCCGAGGAGUUCUUCAUCGUGCAGCUUUUGGUGUUUUCUUCUUUACGGUUCUGAGGAGUUCUGCAUCGUGCAGCUCUUGGGGUUCUCCUCACCAUGUUCUCCCUGGCCCUGAGGAUUGCUUCAUUGUGCAGCUUUUGUUGUUUCUUCCCUGCAGCCUCUGAGGAGUGCUUUGUUGAGCAGCUUUUAGUGUCUUCUUGACUUUGCGACCAUUGAGUUCUGCAUCAUGCAGCUUUUGGGGUUCCCCAUACCACAUGUCCCCUGAGGAGUUCUUCAGCGUGCAGCUUUUGGUGUUUUCUUCACUGUGGCGUGUGAGGAGUUCUGCAUCGUGCAGCUUCUGGGGUUCCGUUCACCACUUUUCCCCUGAGGAAAGCUUCAUCGGGCAGCUAUUUGUGUUUUCCUCACUACGACCCUGAGGAGAACUUCAUCAUGCAGCUUUUGUGGUUCUCCACACCACGUUUCUGCUGAGGAUUGCUUCAUCAUUCAGCUUUUCAAGUUAUCUUCAGUGUGGCUCUUGAAGAGUGAUGCUCAGUGGAGCUUUUUGUGUCUUCUUCACCUUGUGGCCCCUGAAGAUUGCUUCAGCGUGCAGCUUUUGGUGUUUUCUUCACUGUGACCUAUGAGGAGUUCUGCAUCGUGCAGCUCUUGGGGUUCUCCUCACCAUGUUUUCCUUGAGAGAGCUUCAUUGUGCAUUUCUUGGUAUUGUUUUCACCUUGUUGCCCCUGAGAAGUGCUUCAUCCUCCAACAUGUGGUGUGUUUUUUUCUUGGUUCAGGCCCCUGAGUAUUGCGUCAUUGUGCAGCUUUAGGUGUUUUCUUCACUGCGGCCCUGAAGAUUGCUUCAUCAUGCAGCUUUUGGGUUUCUCUUCAUUACGGCCUUGUGGAGAUCUUCAUUGGCCAGCUUUUGGUGAUUUGUUCUCUGUGGCCCCGAGGAGUUCUUCAUCGUGCAGCUUUUGGUGUUUUCUUCUUUACGGUUCUGAGGAGUUCUGCAUCGUGCAGCUCUUGGGGUUCUCCUCACCAUGUUCUCCCUGGCCCUGAGGAUUGCUUCAUUGUGCAGCUUUUGUUGUUUCUUCCCUGCAGCCUCUGAGGAGUGCUUUGUUGAGCAGCUUUUAGUGUCUUCUUCACUUUGCGACCAUUGAGUUCUGCAUCAUGCAGCUUUUGGGGUUCCCCAUACCACAUGUCCCCUGAGGAGUUCUUCAGCGUGCAGCUUCUGGUGUUUUCUUCACUGUGGCGUGUGAGGAGUUCUGCAUCGUGCAGCUUCUGGGGUUCCGUUCACCACUUUUCCCCUGAGGAAAGCUUCAUCGGGCAGCUAUUUGUGUUUUCCUCACUACGACCCUGAGGAGAACUUCAUCAUGCAGCUUUUGUGGUUCUCCACACCACGUUUCUGCUGAGGAUUGCUUCAUCAUUCAGCUUUUCAAGUUAUCUUCAGUGUGGCUCUUGAAGAGUGAUGCUCAGUGGAGCUUUUUGUGUCUUCUUCACCUUGUGGCCCCUGAAGAUUGCUUCAGCGUGCAGCUUUUGGUGUUUUCUUCACUGUGACCUAUGAGGAGUUGUGCAUCGUGCAGCUCUUGGGGUUCUCCUCACCAUGUUUUCCUUGAGAGAGCUUCAUUGUGCAUUUCUUGGUAUUGUUUUCACCUUGUUGCCCCUGAGAAGUGCUUCAUCCUCCAACAUGUGGUGUGUUUUUUUCUUGGUUCAGGCCCCUGAGUAUUGCGUCAUUGUGCAGCUUUAGGUGUUUUCUUCACUGCGGCCCUGAAGAUUGCUUCAUCAUGCAGCUUUUGGGUUUCUCUUCAUUACGGCCUUGUGGAGAUCUUCAUUGGCCAGCUUUUGGUGAUUUGUUCUCUGUGGCCCCGAGGAGUUCUUCAUCGUGCAGCUUUUGGUGUUUUCUUCUUUACGGUUCUGAGGAGUUCUGCAUCGUGCAGCUCUUGGGGUUCUCCUCACCAUGUUCUCCCUGGCCCUGAGGAUUGCUUCAUUGUGCAGCUUUUGUUGUUUCUUCCCUGCAGCCUCUGAGGAGUGCUUUGUUGAGCAGCUUUUAGUGUCUUCUUCACUUUGCGACCAUUGAGUUCUGCAUCAUGCAGCUUUUGGGGUUCCCCAUACCACAUGUCCCCUGAGGAGUUCUUCAGCGUGCAGCUUUUGGUGUUUUCUUCACUGUGGCGUGUGAGGAGUUCUGCAUCGUGCAGCUUCUGGGGUUCCGUUCACCACUUUUCCCCUGAGGAAAGCUUCAUCGGGCAGCUAUUUGUGUUUUCCUCACUACGACCCUGAGGAGAACUUCAUCAUGCAGCUUUUGUGGUUCUCCACACCACGUUUCUGCUGAGGAUUGCUUCAUCAUUCAGCUUUUCAAGUUAUCUUCAGUGUGGCUCUUGAAGAGUGAUGCUCAGUGGAGCUUUUUGUGUCUUCUUCACCUUGUGGCCCCUGAAGAUUGCUUCAGCGUGCAGCUUUUGGUGUUUUCUUCACUGUGACCUAUGAGGAGUUCUGCAUCGUGCAGCUCUUGGGGUUCUCCUCACCAUGUUUUCCUUGAGAGAGCUUCAUUGUGCAUUUCUUGGUAUUGUUUUCACCUUGUUGCCCCUGAGAAGUGCUUCAUCCUCCAACAUGUGGUGUGUUUUUUUCUUGGUUCAGGCCCCUGAGUAUUGCGUCAUUGUGCAGCUUUUGUUGUUUCUUCACUGCGGCCCUGAAGAUUGCUUCAUCAUGCAGCUUUUGGGUUUCUCUUCAUUACGGCCUUGUGGAGAUCUUCAUUGGCCAGCUUUUGGUGAUUUGUUCUCUGUGGCCCCGAGGAGUUCUUCAUCGUGCAGCUUUUGGUGUUUUCUUCUUUACGGUUCUGAGGAGUUCUGCAUCGUGCAGCUCUUGGGGUUCUCCUCACCAUGUUCUCCCUGGCCCUGAGGAUUGCUUCAUUGUGCAGCUUUUGUUGUUUCUUCCCUGCAGCCUCUGAGGAGUGCUUUGUUGAGCAGCUUUUAGUGUCUUCUUCACUUUGCGACCAUUGAGUUCUGCAUCAUGCAGCUUUUGGGGUUCCCCAUACCACAUGUCCCCUGAGGAGUUCUUCAGCGUGCAGCUUUUGGUGUUUUCUUCACUGUGGCGUGUGAGGAGUUCUGCAUCGUGCAGCUUCUGGGGUUCCGUUCACCACUUUUCCCCUGAGGAAAGCUUCAUCGGGCAGCUAUUUGUGUUUUCCUCACUACGACCCUGAGGAGAACUUCAUCAUGCAGCUUUUGUGGUUCUCCACACCACGUUUCUGCUGAGGAUUGCUUCAUCAUUCAGCUUUUCAAGUUAUCUUCAGUGUGGCUCUUGAAGAGUGAUGCUCAGUGGAGCUUUUUGUGUCUUCUUCACCUUGUGGCCCCUGAAGAUUGCUUCAGCGUGCAGCUUUUGGUGUUUUCUUCACUGUGACCUAUGAGGAGUUGUGCAUCGUGCAGCUCUUGGGGUUCUCCUCACCAUGUUUUCCUUGAGAGAGCUUCAUUGUGCAUUUCUUGGUAUUGUUUUCACCUUGUUGCCCCUGAGAAGUGCUUCAUCCUCCAACAUGUGGUGUGUUUUUUUCUUGGUUCAGGCCCCUGAGUAUUGCGUCAUUGUGCAGCUUUAGGUGUUUUCUUCACUGCGGCCCUGAAGAUUGCUUCAUCAUGCAGCUUUUGGGUUUCUCUUCAUUACGGCCUUGUGGAGAUCUUCAUUGGCCAGCUUUUGGUGAUUUGUUCUCUGUGGCCCCGAGGAGUUCUUCAUCGUGCAGCUUUUGGUGUUUUCUUCUUUACGGUUCUGAGGAGUUCUGCAUCGUGCAGCUCUUGGGGUUCUCCUCACCAUGUUCUCCCUGGUGAAAUCUUCCUCAUGCAACUUUUCGUUUUGUUUCACCUUGUUGCCCCUGAGAAGUGCUUCAUCUUCCAAA